This 252-nucleotide ribosomal RNA is filed under the name uncultured bacterium. RNAcentral's name for it is "partial 16S ribosomal RNA". It matches the Rfam family "Bacterial small subunit ribosomal RNA", at positions 524 to 775 of the family's 1533-position model. The record is from RNAcentral.
UACGUAGGUGGCAAGCGUUGUCCGGAAUUAUUGGGCGUAAAGCGCGCGCAGGCGGUCCUUUAAGUCUGAUGUGAAAGCCCACGGCUCAACCGUGGAGGGUCAUUGGAAACUGGGGGACUUGAGUACAGAAGAGAAGAGUGGAAUUCCACGUGUAGCGGUGAAAUGCGUAGAGAUGUGGAGGAACACCAAUGGCGAAGGCGACUCUUUGGUCUGUAACUGACGCUGAGGCGCGAAAGCGUGGGGAGCAAACGG